RNAcentral lists this ribosomal RNA (253 nucleotides) under uncultured bacterium. RNAcentral describes it as "partial 16S ribosomal RNA". It matches the Rfam family "Bacterial small subunit ribosomal RNA", at positions 524 to 776 of the family's 1533-position model. The record is from RNAcentral.
UACGUAGGGUGCGAGCGUUAAUCGGAAUUACUGGGCGUAAAGCGUGCGCAGGCGGUUUUGUAAGCCAGAUGUGAAAUCCCCGGGCUCAACCUGGGAAUGGCAUUUGGGACUGCAAGGCUCGAGUGCGGCAGAGGAGACUGGAAUUCCUGGUGUAGCAGUGAAAUGCGUAGAUAUCAGGAGGAAUACCGAUGGCGAAGGCAGCCCCCUGGGCUAACACUGACGCUCAUGCACGAAAGCGUGGGGAGCAAACAGG